UACAGAGGGGGCAAGCGUUGUUCGGAAUUACUGGGCGUAAAGGGCGCGUAGGCGGCCUUCUAAGUCGAACGUGAAAUCCCCGGGCUCAACCCGGGAACUGCGUCCGAUACUGGUGGGCUUGAAUUCGGGAGAGGGAUGUGGAAUUCCAGGUGUAGCGGUGAAAUGCGUAGAUAUCUGGAGGAACACCGGUGGCGAAGGCGGCAUCCUGGACCGAUAUUGACGCUGAUGCGCGAAAGCCAGGGGAGCAAACGGG
This 253-nucleotide ribosomal RNA is filed under the name uncultured bacterium. RNAcentral's name for it is "partial 16S ribosomal RNA". It matches the Rfam family "Bacterial small subunit ribosomal RNA", at positions 524 to 776 of the family's 1533-position model. The record is from RNAcentral.